GGGUAUAGCUUAGUGGUAGAGCACAUGCUUAGCAUAUAUGAGGUCCUGGGUUCAGUCCCCAGCAUCUCCA
RNAcentral lists this transfer RNA (70 nucleotides) under Camelus bactrianus (Bactrian camel). It matches the Rfam family "tRNA". Rfam says of the family: Transfer RNA (tRNA) molecules are approximately 80 nucleotides in length. Their secondary structure includes four short double-helical elements and three loops (D, anti-codon, and T loops). RNAcentral also lists the same sequence under 2 other names. The record is from Rfam by way of RNAcentral. Lineage: Eukaryota; Metazoa; Chordata; Mammalia; Artiodactyla; Camelidae.